Leptonychotes weddellii (Weddell seal) is the source of this 506-nucleotide non-coding RNA. The record is from RefSeq and is a predicted model, not a curated record. Lineage: Eukaryota; Metazoa; Chordata; Mammalia; Carnivora; Phocidae.
CUGCAGAUUCCUCUUUUGCUAUCUGCAGAGUGAGACUGGCAGCACAUGACGCAGAUAACUCGCUCCACCACGCUGGCUUACAGAUUUCCUGCUGAGGGAGUAUCUCUCCUUCCAAGGGAUAGACUGAGGCCCACAGAUGCAGUGUUUUCCAUUUAAUAAACUGUGCCAAUUUCAUGUGACCUGAUAUUGAAGACUAUAAGAUGGAAUGGAACACUAAAUACCCGACCUCACAACUUUUUUUUACUUCAUAGUACCCAACUACCAAAAAUAUGGAUCUCAUGAAGGAAGCCAGCUGCCAUGUUAUUAGGAUACUUGGGUAGCCUGCAGAGAAGCUCACAUGGUGAAGAACUAAAGUGUCCAGCCAAUAGCAACAAAGAACUGAAGCCUGUCGGCAACCACCUACGUAAGCUUAGAGAAGAAUCCUCCCCAGGUAUGGUCUAUAAAGUCAUCAUGAACUCUGAAGUAGCAAAGACUGAGACAUUACUCCUGGGGGAAAUACAGCACGG